GAUAAGGAGCUUGCUCCUUUGACGUUAGCGGCGGACGGGUGAGUAACACGUGGGUAACCUACCUAUAAGACUGGAAUAACUCCGGGAAACCGGGGCUAAUGCCGGAUAACAUUUAGAACCGCAUGGUUCUAAAGUGAAAGAUGGUUUUGCUAUCACUUAUAGAUGGACCCGCGCCGUAUUAGCUAGUUGGUAAGGUAACGGCUUACCAAGGCAACGAUACGUAGCCGACCUGAGAGGGUGAUCGGCCACACUGGAACUGAGACACGGUCCAGACUCCUACGGGAGGCAGCAGUAGGGAAUCUUCCGCAAUGGGCGAAAGCCUGACGGAGCAACGCCGCGUGAGUGAUGAAGGUCUUCGGAUCGUAAAACUCUGUUAUUAGGGAAGAACAAAUGUGUAAGUAACUGUGCACGUCUUGACGGUACCUAAUCAGAAAGCCACGGCUAACUACGUGCCAGCAGCCGCGGUAAUACGUAGGUGGCAAGCGUUAUCCGGAAUUAUUGGGCGUAAAGCGCGCGUAGGCGGUUUCUUAAGUCUGAUGUGAAAGCCCACGGCUCAACCGUGGAGGGUCAUUGGAAACUGGGAAACUUGAGUGCAGAAGAGGAAAGUGGAAUUCCAUGUGUAGCGGUGAAAUGCGCAGAGAUAUGGAGGAACACCAGUGGCGAA
This 664-nucleotide ribosomal RNA is filed under the name Staphylococcus cohnii. RNAcentral describes it as "bacterial SSU rRNA". It matches the Rfam family "Bacterial small subunit ribosomal RNA", at positions 70 to 719 of the family's 1533-position model. Lineage: Bacteria; Bacillati; Bacillota; Bacilli; Caryophanales; Staphylococcaceae. The record is from RNAcentral.